Long non-coding RNA from Haemorhous mexicanus (house finch), 439 nucleotides. RefSeq lists it as uncharacterized. The record is from RefSeq and is a predicted model, not a curated record. The transcript has 3 exons. Lineage: Eukaryota; Metazoa; Chordata; Aves; Passeriformes; Fringillidae.
UGUGAGAAAAAAUCAUUGCUGCAAAUCUAGCUAAGGUUGGUUCCACAGGUGCAGCAGGAAAGGUCAGGAGCUGUCAGGCAAGAUGUAGCCUGGACACAAUUUCUUUCUGUUGGAAUUCCCUACUUCUGCCUUUAUUUCCUACAUGUUCUUCUUUGACAGGACGUAUUUUGGCUGACUUGCUACUGUAUGGUAUUCCUCACAGCAAAGGCACAAGUGGUUUUCCUCUGGCAAUCAUCUUUUUCAACUGUUUUGGUACAAAGGUCAAAAUACUGAAGAAACCUCUACCUUGAGGAGGCAAAAAGAAGUGCAAAUCAAGUUAAGCAUUCAGCAUUUUAAGGAUGUUUUUUUCAUUCCCAAAGUCUACCACUUCUUUCUCAUGGGUACUACAACUGAAUUAUCAUGUUUAAAUAAUUUCUCCAAUAAAAGGCCUGUAAGCAAA